GCCAACUGUGAUGAGAAAUUAUCUGAAGAUCAGCUGGCUGUGGUCUUGUUAAACUCCAUUAGUGAUAGGCAUAGAGACUUAAAGAAUGCCUUGGAAUAUGGAAGAGAUGAGCUUACCCCAUAUAUCAUCAUAAAUGCCUUAAGAAAUAUGGUUCUUGAAUUAAAAUCAGAUUCUAUCAACCAUCAAAGUGGAGAAAAUCUUUUGUUAAAAGGAAAAAAUGUUGGUAAAUCUAAUUUUCAUUUAAAAUUUCAAAAUGAC
This 258-nucleotide long non-coding RNA is filed under the name Olea europaea (common olive). RNAcentral describes it as "long non-coding RNA (OEUR_LNC013444)". The record is from RNAcentral. Lineage: Eukaryota; Viridiplantae; Streptophyta; Magnoliopsida; Lamiales; Oleaceae.